This 468-nucleotide ribosomal RNA is filed under the name uncultured bacterium. RNAcentral describes it as "partial 16S ribosomal RNA". It matches the Rfam family "Bacterial small subunit ribosomal RNA", at positions 28 to 507 of the family's 1533-position model. The record is from RNAcentral.
GACGAACGCUGGCGGCGUGCUUAACACAUGCAGGUCGAACAGAAAGGCCCUGCUUUUGUGGGGUGCUCGAGUGGCGAACGGGUGAGUAACACGUGAGUAACCUGCCCUUGACUUUGGGAUAACUUCAGGAAACUGGGGCUAAUACCGGAUAGGAGCUCCUGCUGCAUGGUGGGGGUUGGAAAGUUUCGGCGGUUGGGGAUGGACUCGCGGCUUAUCAGCUUGUUGGUGGGGUAGUGGCUUACCAAGGCUUUGACGGGUAGCCGGCCUGAGAGGGUGACCGGCCACAUUGGGACUGAGAUACGGCCCAGACUCCUACGGGAGGCAGCAGUGGGGAAUAUUGCACAAUGGGCGGAAGCCUGAUGCAGCAACGCCGCGUGCGGGAUGACGGCCUUCGGGUUGUAAACCGCUUUCGCCUGUGACGAAGCGUGAGUGACGGUAAUGGGUAAAGAAGCACCGGCUAACUACGUG